Molecule: non-coding RNA, 110 nt
Organism: Acanthosepion pharaonis
Lineage: Eukaryota; Metazoa; Mollusca; Cephalopoda; Sepiida; Sepiidae
Source: the annotation of a GenBank genome assembly
CAACCACAUCAUGUUGAAACACCAGUUCCUGUAUGAUCACCAAAGUUAAGCAAUGUUGAGCCUAGUCAGUACCUCGAUGGGUGACUGCUUAGGAAUAACAGGUGGUGUAA